RNAcentral lists this ribosomal RNA (253 nucleotides) under uncultured bacterium. RNAcentral's name for it is "partial 16S ribosomal RNA". It matches the Rfam family "Bacterial small subunit ribosomal RNA", at positions 524 to 776 of the family's 1533-position model. The record is from RNAcentral.
UACAGAGGGUGCGAGCGUUAAUCGGAAUUACUGGGCGUAAAGCGUGCGCAGACGGUCAUGUAAGUCGGGUGUGAAAGCCCCGGGCUCAACCUGGGAAUUGCAUUCGAGACUGUGUGGCUAGGGUGCGGAAGAGGGAAGCGGAAUUUCCGGUGUAGCGGUGAAAUGCGUAGAUAUCGGAAGGAACACCAGUGGCGAAAGCGGCUUCCUGGUCCAGCACCGACGUCAGGCACGAAAGCGUGGGGGAGCAAACAGG